CCAGUCAGAACAGUACCAUUAUAUGAACAGAACAAAAGGCACACUUGGAUAAAUUGCAUGAUACAGUGACUUUUAGGGUAAAUUUCACUAGUUUCCAGUAAUUUAUAAGACAGCCUACCUUUGAGUUUCAGAAAGGUAAUGGCUACCCUACACCCAAGCCAUAUGUAAAGAUAGAUAAACACACUUCAGGAGAGCUGCUUUUUAAAUCUUGAAAGGAUGCCUGUAAUUUCAUUAUAUUACAGGAGAGGUUUGUAAUUUAACCUUGUAAUAAAGGCGAGAAAAUUUAAGUCAAGUUUUAUUUCAAAUUCCUAUUCGAAUUUGGUUUCUUAUUUUAGAGUUUUCUAUUUGUGACUUGACUUGGUAAAUAAGUACAAAGUUUUCUCCCUUGUUCUACAAGGAGUACUUGACAUGAAAACUCUAUGAAUAGAGACUACCAGUAAGAAUUUGAUGACCCAAGAGUAACAUCAUGUUGAGGCUGAAAGAUGUACACAUUCUAAAAGGCACGUUGAGAUCUAUCAUUAUGGUGGUAUUAGUUGCAAUGUUAUCGUGGUAGAUGACUGUUGUAUGACAAACUUGAAAGUUAUGGGUAUUUGGGUUUUUGAGAGAGACGCAUCAUAAACAGUGUUGAUAAGGGACGAUGUCAGGUAUAUGCCAAUCAAUGCAUCCAAUAUCAGAAAAGUCAAUAAACAAGCUUCAAAAGAAACGUCCAACUAGUAUAUGGCGUUUGGAAGGCCACAGCCUUAUUAUAACAGCGUCAAACUCUAAAGACAUGGGUAAAACUUGCAUGUGUAAAAGAAGUUAAAAUGCUAAUGCUCAUGCUUUAUUAAGGCUCUUGACCCCAAGUGCUAAAUUGAGUAACUU
RNAcentral lists this unclassified non-coding RNA (861 nucleotides) under Hevea brasiliensis (rubber tree). The record is from RNAcentral. Lineage: Eukaryota; Viridiplantae; Streptophyta; Magnoliopsida; Malpighiales; Euphorbiaceae.